AUUACCCAGGAGGAAGCGCGCACAGCAGAAUUGGUUAGAACUGUCCUGUGACGUAACCUGUCAAUCAGUUGAAUCACCAGUCACCCCCACCCCUUGUUGAAGGCACUCUUUCGAAGGUUUCCUGAAGGCAUCUAUGAGUAGUUUUCAAAAUCUAGCGCUUCGAUAUAAUAAAACGUUCUAAUAUGGCCACCAGUUGUGUUAUCAAAUGCAAUUAGCACGAAGGUCUGUUAGGGGACGUAAAAGAAAGAAGUUUAAAACAAUGCUUUUCCUAAACUGAGAACCAUAUCUGCCCAGAGGAUAGCAAUUAACAUGCGGGACAAUUAAAAGGCCAAAAAUGGAUAACAGCAAAUCGUAUCAGAGAGUCAUACGGUACAUAAAUAGGCCCUUGGAUCCUGCUGAUCAAGAUGUCCAUCCAAGUAGGCCUACUAUUCCAAAUCAUCUACUUGUCCAAAUUUAAAGGAAUAGAAACAUGAGAAAAUCUGCAUAUCUGUGUUUUGCUUGGAAGAGAAUGGAGGCAGAGAGAAACAAGGACACGUGGGAAUUUGGAAAGAAGAAUGAGAAAUGAGGUCACUAUUCCAAGAUCCACAAAGGAAGAGAUCACUGGGUGAACAGAGGAAAAGAUUCAAGGAUGUGCUCCUGGGAACCUCUGGACAGCAGUGAGAACCUCGAGUCCAGAAGCAGAGAAAGGGAGGAAGGCAGCAAUAUGACCCUUCUGCUGAAUAUCAUUGUGAGCGUACCUACACCAAGACUCCAGCAGUUCAAGAUGAAAGCCAUCAUCAUCUUUUCAAGCCCAAUUGGAGAAGGGUGUUAAAUGCUGGCCUGG
Mobula hypostoma (lesser devil ray) is the source of this 823-nucleotide long non-coding RNA. RefSeq lists it as uncharacterized. NCBI's taxonomy places the organism in Eukaryota, Metazoa, Chordata, Chondrichthyes, Myliobatiformes, Myliobatidae. The record is from RefSeq and is a predicted model, not a curated record. The transcript has 3 exons.